This 27-nucleotide transfer RNA is filed under the name Kappaphycus sp. B8. RNAcentral's name for it is "partial tRNA-His". Lineage: Eukaryota; Rhodophyta; Florideophyceae; Gigartinales; Solieriaceae. The record is from RNAcentral.
GGAUUGUGAAUCCACCAUGCGCGACGA